GUGUACUUUCCUUUGAGUGAACAGCUCAAGGUACAACAGAGUAGGGCUUCAAAAACUCUUAAUUCCAUCCUCCUGAGCUUGAUAAAUAUUGAUCUUCAUUCAAAGUGGACAGGCAAGCAAGUGUCGCCCGUCCACCUGGACACUAUAUUAAGAGCUCACUGUAAGCAUCUUUUCCAACUGGUGUCAUGACUCCAAUGACUGACUGGACCACAGCCAGUGAACCAACCAUCUAACCAACCACUCAUCAGCCGGGCAAGAAAUAAGUAUUUCUGCAGAGAUGAACAAAAACCCUUCUGAAUUUGCUGAGCUUUGGAAAUGGCACCAGGAGAG
Micropterus dolomieu (smallmouth bass) is the source of this 330-nucleotide long non-coding RNA. RefSeq lists it as uncharacterized. The transcript is spliced from 3 exons. The record is from RefSeq and is a predicted model, not a curated record. Lineage: Eukaryota; Metazoa; Chordata; Actinopteri; Centrarchiformes; Centrarchidae.